Molecule: ribosomal RNA, 432 nt
Filed under: uncultured bacterium
Lineage: Bacteria
Description: partial 16S ribosomal RNA
Rfam family: Bacterial small subunit ribosomal RNA
Source: RNAcentral
AACGAACGCUGGCGGCAUGCCUAACACAUGCAAGUCGAACGAGACCUUCGGGUCUAGUGGCGCACGGGUGCGUAACGCGUGGGAACCUGCCCUUAGGUUCGGAAUAACUCCCCGAAAGGGGUGCUAAUACCGGAUAAUGUCUUCGGCCCAAAGAUUUAUCGCCUUUGGAUGGGCCCGCGUUGGAUUAGCUAGUUGGUAGGGUAAAAGCCUACCAAGGCGACGAUCCAUAGCUGGUCUGAGAGGACGAUCAGCCACACUGGGACUGAGACACGGCCCAGACUCCGACGGGAGGCAGCAGUGGGGAAUAUGGGACAAUGGGCGAAAGCCGGAGCCAGCAAUGCCGCGGGAGUGAUGAAGGCCUUAGGGUUGUAAAGCUCUUUUACCCGGGAUGAUAAGGACAGUACCGGGAGAAUAAGCUCCGGCUAACUCCGU